Molecule: unclassified non-coding RNA, 342 nt
Filed under: soil metagenome
Description: partial contains 5.8S ribosomal RNA, internal transcribed spacer 2, and large subunit ribosomal RNA
Rfam family: 5.8S ribosomal RNA (bases 1-120)
Source: RNAcentral
GAUGAAGAACUUAGCGAAAUGCGAUAAGUAGUGUGAAUUGCAGAAUUCAGUGAAUCAUCGAAUCUUUGAACGCACAUUGCGCCUCCUGGUAUUCCGGGAGGCAUGCCUGUUCGAGCGUCAUCAAAAACCUCAACCCAUGAUUUAUUGUGAGUUGGUUCUGCAUUGGACUCCUUGUGGGUCCUUUGCGAAAUCCAAUGGCGAAGAGCCACGCAACCAAAGCGUAGUAUAACUAUUUCGUUAUGGAAGCGUGGGUGCCUCUGCCGUAACCCCCAAUUUCUUAGUUUUUGACCUCGGAUCAGGUAGGGAUACCCGCUGAACUUAAGCAUAUCAAUAAGCGGAGGA